Molecule: small nuclear RNA, 186 nt
Filed under: Fukomys damarensis (Damara mole-rat)
Lineage: Eukaryota; Metazoa; Chordata; Mammalia; Rodentia; Bathyergidae
Description: U4 spliceosomal RNA (ENSFDAG00000003193.1)
Rfam family: U4 spliceosomal RNA (bases 1-70)
Source: RNAcentral
AGCUUUGCACAGUGGUAGUGUCAUAGCCAAUGAAGUUUAUCUGAGGCGAGAUUAUUGCUAAUUGAGAAAAGGGCCAAGGACUAGAUAUAGCCCCCAAGGUCACACCCCUAUAUUCUAAUCACCUUCCAAAAGCUCUACAUCUGAAUGUGAGUCUUUUGGGUGACUUUUUUUUUUUUUAACCAGAGA